GACGAACGCUGUCGGCGUGCUUAACACAUGCAAGUCGAACGGAAAGGCCCUGCUUUUGUGGGGUGCUUGAGUGGCGAACGGGUGAGUAACACGUGAGUAACCUGCCCUUGACUUUGGGAUAACUUCAGGAAACUGGGGCUAAUACCGGAUAGGAGCUCCUGCUGCAUGGUGGGGGUUGGAAAGUUUCGGCGGUUGGGGAUGGACUCGCGGCUUAUCAGCUUGUUGGUGGGGUAGUGGCUUACCAAGGCUUUGACGGGUAGCCGGCCUGAGAGGGUGACCGGCCACAUUGGGACUGAGAUACGGCCCAGACUCCUACGGGAGGCAGCAGUGGGGAAUAUUGCACAAUGGGCGGAAGCCUGAUGCAGCAACGCCGCGUGCGGGAUGACGGCCUUCGGGUUGUAAACCGCUUUCGCCUGUGACGAAGCGUGAGUGACGGUAAUGGGUAAAGAAGCACCGGCUAACUACGUG
Molecule: ribosomal RNA, 468 nt
Filed under: uncultured bacterium
Lineage: Bacteria
Description: partial 16S ribosomal RNA
Rfam family: Bacterial small subunit ribosomal RNA
Source: RNAcentral